Molecule: ribosomal RNA, 1957 nt
Filed under: Triticum aestivum (bread wheat)
Lineage: Eukaryota; Viridiplantae; Streptophyta; Magnoliopsida; Poales; Poaceae
Description: partial small subunit ribosomal RNA
Source: RNAcentral
UCUUCCCUCUGCUCCCACCCACCACCGAACGUCGUACCCCGCCCGUGCGUCCCCGUGCAGGUUGCUCCCACCACAAGACACCUAGACCACGGGGGAGAGGAAACCGUUGGAGGAGGAGGAGUAGACGACGGCUACCGACACUCAAGUGCCGACGAGGCCUCGAGGUUGCUCGGUUCCAGUAGAGACUUGGCGUAAACAAAUUCCCUUUCUAUCUAUAUUCUUCUUUAAUCAGAUAUGCACGGGAAUAAAUAAAACUAAAAAUGGUGAGGAACUGGUUGAGUACGAGUGUAUAGUUGAUAAGGGGCCUGAGGGACAAAGAUCUAACGAUCUGUACAAUCAACCAAAAGAAGAAAGAAUAGGAUCCUACCGUAAAAACAAAUUCCCCUUAAUUAAGAAAAAAAUUAUCAUGUAGAAGGGGAAAAUGGUUAUUAGACUAAAAAUAUAUAGUUAAAUACCCAAAGAGGGUCAACACACGUUUAGGCUGUUUCUUCUCUUUUCCUUCUUAUAACUCCUUCUCAAAACCACUUCUUCUUGUUCUCAUCGUUACCUAACAUGUCUUUUAUCGUAUGAUUUACAAGAACUACUCGACUAGUACCUGGAGCCGUUUUAACUGUUACGAUAGCUGUGAGAAACGCUACGACCUUAUCUUUACUUCUUAAUAUUAAAUUAAUGAGAUCACCUUCCUAGUCAAAAAUACCGUACCUGAUGUUUCCUCUCUUCACCUGGUACACUUGCAUCAUGUUGUAACAACAAUCAAGCGCGUCAGCUCCAGACGAGUCCUUCUGUGUCAAGCUGGCUUGUCAACAACACAAAAGGGUCAACAAACGUUUAGGCUGCUUUUCCUCGUUUCUUUCUUAUAACUCCUUAUAAAUCCAUUUCUUCUUGUUCCACUUGGGAUACAUAGAGAAGGGGGAGAGAGAGAACUUGUGGGUAGCAAUAAACGUCACGAACAAACCUUAAGAAUACCACGUAGAUACUAGAAGGAUCGAACAAAAGAAAAAGCCCAAUUUGAGGUUAGUUCGUAACACUGCAUAAUCAGUAUUAAAAUAAUAAAAAGGGAGCUGAUGAAAGAAAACGGUUCUACUUAAUUACACAUCCAAAAGGUGGUGUUCAAGCAACGUUACGGAAUAAAACAUAAAUCAAGUCAAGUUGAGAUCUCUUAUCGUCAAACACAUACUAGAAUCAAGGAUGUUUGACCUUCCGCUUCUAUCUAAUCAAAUGGAAAAAAUGGUAGAAGUCAGUGUUGGUAUAAAAGGCAGUACUUUUGUGAGAAUUGAGAUUUAAACGUUGACAAGUCACGUAAAUACAACGAAGGACGUUCCAGUUACUAUACCUCUGUCAACCUUAAGUAUAAGUUCGAUUAUGUCACUGAUUUAAACCGCUCGUCGCUCACGGACUAGUACUAGACGCCCUCCCAUUGCCAAUAAUAUUAUUAACUCACAUGGGUUACCUCUGACGUAAUGUAUUAAUUAGCCUCCCAUUCCCGCAGGUAUCAAAAGUAACUUGAUGACGUCAAAGGUUGACUUAAAAGUAAACGUCUAAGGCUUCUUGCCUCAAGAUCCAAGAUUGGUACAGCGAAGGUAAACAACAUAAGACUCCUAUUUAGAACAAGAUAUAGGGACGUAACAAUAGGUGACCUGAGAUUUUGUUUUUAGUUACAAACGUGUAGGUCUGUUCCAUUUGAAUACUACUCACCUUAGGUGUUAUAUUUAACUGUAAGAUACAGUCACCUUCACUCAGAUAUGAGUGGCUCCUUGUUAAACUAGACUAUUGAUACUUUACAAGAAACAACCAAAACCAAGAUAUUAUAGUUCUAGAUAUUAAUAUAAGUGAAAUGUACAAUUGUACAACAUUUAUUUAACAAUAGAUUAUCAGUCGUUAGACACCCUUGAAAAGGAGUGUCAUCCCACACAACAACUACAAAAGAACUAGAUGGUCACUUGAACAUAGUACACCG